Vicia faba (fava bean) is the source of this 219-nucleotide non-coding RNA. Lineage: Eukaryota; Viridiplantae; Streptophyta; Magnoliopsida; Fabales; Fabaceae. The record is from the annotation of a GenBank genome assembly.
AUGGGGUACGUGCUGAGAGUGAGAUUAGCGUCGUUCUUUACCGGCGCUGCAACGGCGUCGUUUGCAGGUCUCUACAUUCUCCAUAGGGAUUACAAACUUGCGCAUCAAUCCCUUACUCAACAGACGAAUGGUCUCUACGAAUCACUUAACAAUCGAAUUUCUUCCUUGGAAAAACUCAAACAAACUGAAACUUCACCACAGGCGGAAGCUACAGAAUAA